This is a long non-coding RNA of Triticum aestivum (bread wheat), 1063 nucleotides long. RefSeq lists it as uncharacterized. The record is from RefSeq and is a predicted model, not a curated record. NCBI's taxonomy places the organism in Eukaryota, Viridiplantae, Streptophyta, Magnoliopsida, Poales, Poaceae. The transcript is spliced from 2 exons.
GGGUGGGCUUUCCCGCGGAAACAGUGGCGGAAACAGUGGGGUUCUUUGGACGGUCGGGCGUGUUGGAGUUUGACGCGGCGAACAUCCGGACGCCUGAAAAACCUCCCCUACGUUUGGUUCCGGUUUGUGGGAUUUUGGACACCCGGACCGGUCUGGACAAAUUUGGUGACCUUCGUUGGAUGGCAAGGAAAUGUCCUAACAGUCCAGUCCGGACAUUUAGUGGCGACUUGUUGAUCAGCAUUGGAGUUGCCCUAACCCAGCAUGGUUUAGGUUCAGGUUCUAACCAUCAAGAACAUGUUCCUUAUUUAUCUCUCCUGUUGUCCGGGAUGUUUGGCAGCAACUAAUCUUGACGUGUGAACAGGUUGGUCAUGGCGUCACGUGCACAUAGACCUGCAGCUCUCGUUUCCACGACCUGGUGGUCGUUGCCGCGGUCUCGGAUGACGGUGGUUCACCACCUUGCUUCCAGUGCCGAUGAGACAAUCGGGUUGUCACCCUGUAAUCUCAGUGUCGGCUCCCACGACUGCCUCCUCGGCUACCACUACUUAGGAUAUUUUUGGGACCAUUGAGUUUAUAUGAUCUUUUGACUGUCUGGCUCAGUGGGGAGGAUCUGCCCACUUGUGUCAAGAGGUCAUGGGUUCGACGCAGUCCCUCUGCAUUGCACUGUGCAGGGGUAAGGCUUGCUUCGUAUGACUCCAUUGGCGUAGGGCGGCCGGAAUCGGGCGCGACGGCAGCUGUGGGGUGAAGUUUCACUUCGUGUGGUUGGGGUUCCCGUCGCAGCCCUUUUGGUUUUCGGGCAGCUGUUAGUGGUGAUGUAUUUUUGCAUCACCUGUAGCAAUAUUUUGGGCACCAUAUACCUGUAGCGCUGCUGUUGGAGGCGUUUUAUUUGACCCACAAGUGACCUAAAAAGCAUUUUUUUUGGGCACAGCUGCAUUUUUGGGGCCGCUGUUGAGGAUGCUCAUGUAGUUAUCACGCAGUGUUCAGACUGCAUUCUAUGACGGUCACCCUGUAUUGACACCAUUUAUUUUUCUUUGAGCAAUCUGCUAUUGGUGUUAGCAAAGCCGUA